RNAcentral lists this unclassified non-coding RNA (809 nucleotides) under Saccharomyces cerevisiae (brewer's yeast). RNAcentral's name for it is "sequence contains ITS1, 5.8S rRNA gene and ITS2". The record is from RNAcentral. Lineage: Eukaryota; Fungi; Ascomycota; Saccharomycetes; Saccharomycetales; Saccharomycetaceae.
CGGGUACUCCUACCUGAAUUGAGGUCAAACUUUAAGAACAUUGUUCGCCUAGACGCUCUCUUCUUAUCGAUAACGUUCCAAUACGCUCAGUAUAAAAAAAGAUUAGCCGCAGUUGGUAAAACCUAAAACGACCGUACUUGCAUUAUACCUCAAGCACGCAGAGAAACCUCUCUUUGGAAAAAAAACAUCCAAUGAAAAGGCCAGCAAUUUCAAGUUAACUCCAAAGAGUAUCACUCACUACCAAACAGAAUGUUUGAGAAGGAAAUGACGCUCAAACAGGCAUGCCCCCUGGAAUACCAAGGGGCGCAAUGUGCGUUCAAAGAUUCGAUGAUUCACGGAAUUCUGCAAUUCACAUUACGUAUCGCAUUUCGCUGCGUUCUUCAUCGAUGCGAGAACCAAGAGAUCCGUUGUUGAAAGUUUUUAAUAUUUUAAAAUUUCCAGUUACGAAAAUUCUUGUUUUUGACAAAAAUUUAAUGAAUAGAUAAAAUUGUUUGUGUUUGUUACCUCUGGGCCCCGAUUGCUCGAAUGCCCAAAGAAAAAGUUGCAAAGAUAUGAAAACUCCACAGUGUGUUGUAUUGAAACGGUUUUAAUUGUCCUAUAACAAAAGCACAGAAAUCUCUCACCGUUUGUAAUAGCAAGAAAGAAACUUACAGCCCUAGCAAGACCGCGCACUUAAGCGCAGCCCCGGCUGGACUCUCCAUCUCUUGUCUUCUUGCCCAGUAAAGGCUCUCAUGCUCUUGCCAAAACAAAAAAAUCCAAUUUCAAAAUUAUAUAAUUUCCUUAAUGAUCCUUCCGCAGGUUCACCUACG